Molecule: ribosomal RNA, 314 nt
Filed under: uncultured bacterium
Lineage: Bacteria
Description: partial 16S ribosomal RNA
Rfam family: Bacterial small subunit ribosomal RNA
Source: RNAcentral
UUAUAAGAGACAGCAGUCGCCACGGUAAUACGGAGGGUGCAAGCGUUAAUCGGAAUUACUGGGCGUAAAGCGCACGCAGGCGGUUUGUUAAGUCAGAUGUGAAAUCCCCGGGCUCAACCUGGGAACUGCAUUUGAAACUGGCAAGCUAGAGUCUCGUAGAGGGGGGUAGAAUUCCAGGUGUAGCGGUGAAAUGCGUAGAGAUCUGGAGGAAUACCGGUGGCGAAGGCGGCCCCCUGGACGAAGACUGACGCUCAGGUGCGAAAGCGUGGGGAGCAAACAGGAUUAGAUACCCGCGUAGUCCCUGUCUCUUAUAC